This 734-nucleotide long non-coding RNA is filed under the name Homo sapiens (human). RNAcentral's name for it is "non-protein coding lnc-PLCD3-4:9". Lineage: Eukaryota; Metazoa; Chordata; Mammalia; Primates; Hominidae. The record is from RNAcentral.
CUGGGAGGAGGCAGCGGAGGGACUCGCUGCGCAGGGCGCGGAUCCUGAGGCCGAGCUCUGCCAGCUUCCCUCCCCACCCCCAUUCGGCCUGGGUAUGGCGGCGAGGCCCCGCACAGAGGGACUCCCACUUCGACUGGAGAGGUGGGGGCGACGCCAGAUUCCAGAGGCUGGCGCCGCGGGGGAGGGCGGAGGUCGCAGGUCUGGCCACAAGUCGGCGUGGCAGUCAGCUGGAGGCUCCGAGAGCGGAGAUCCCAGUGCACCCACCUUACCUCGCUUACACCAAAGCGCCAUCUCGCCGCCCGGGUUGCGAAAAACCACGACCCUCUUAAACUACUGUAGCAACCACUAAUUCCCCCUGGGAGCAGCUAGAGAGGGGCACUUGGAAACCUUCACGAGCUCGGUGCCUGAAGGUCUCUGAGGCUCUUGCCCUCAAGAUCUCUCCCAUUCAGCCCCGAUUCUCCGGACAACCUGACCUAGCAUGUCGCCAGCCUCUUGGUGAAACGCCUAAAGUGUGCUGCCCCACUUCUCUUGAAAGUUUACACCGAAGGGAUGAGGUUUUGCCCUUUACAGGGUUGGGGCACAAAGUCGGAGUCGCUGCGGCUCCGAAAUAGAAACGGAGUUGCCCAUUUCGUAUGCUUCAUCAACAUCUGCUUGCAUUUUGAAAUCCUAGUCUUAACUUUUACACAACUUUUAGAGAAAUGGCUGCCCUCCUAGAGGGAAAAACGAACUACAGU